Long non-coding RNA from Micropterus salmoides (largemouth bass), 915 nucleotides. RefSeq lists it as uncharacterized. The transcript is spliced from 2 exons. The record is from RefSeq and is a predicted model, not a curated record. NCBI's taxonomy places the organism in Eukaryota, Metazoa, Chordata, Actinopteri, Centrarchiformes, Centrarchidae.
CUUUCACCUCCACCCCACACACAGUGAAGAGAGGAAGACCAGUGGAUAAUAUGUUUUUGGCAGUAAGGAUGCUGUCCAUUUAAAACCUGAAACACUUUUCAACUCUCUAACAGUUAACAAAUACAGAAGGAUGCAGCCUUACCCACACUAUAUAGUAUGAGGUGUUACUUUUUGUAUGCUCUUGUUUUUCAGAUGGAGGUUCUGACCCCUGCGCUGAGUUAGAGAUAAGGAGAACUCACUGAUGAUGAGACCCCCAGGCUUCCACAGAAGAACAAAGUCAAACAUGAGAGAGCAAGAGAGCAUGGAGUGAGGUAGAGAGAACUGCGAUGUAGAGUGCCUGGAAAAAAGGACUGUGAGCAAUGUAUACAUGGAGAAAAGACCUUGGCUCAAGGGUCAUGGAAAGAUGUCAAACUUUGUGUACAACACAAUUGUGACCCUUAGACGAAGCGGCGCUUCACGUAUUCUUAAGAAUUCAAAAGCCAAAUGUUUUUGCCAUUUACAGUCUCCUACUGAACUACUGAUUGAUAAUAAUCUGAAAUUAAUCUAUCCUGGACCAUAUAGUGUCAGAUGAUGUACUGUAAAAAGGCAAGACUAGCCACAAUAAGCUAGUGUUCAGCGUUCCUAAAACUCAAAACCAGUUGUAAAAAAUUCAAAGGAUUAUUUUGUUUUCAUUGUACUUUGCAAGACAGUGUUCCUUGUUUUCAAUUGAUUGUCUGAUAAUAUCAAUUUUCUUCAUAUUGGCCCUCACUUUAAUUGGUGAAUUAAUAGUAGUUAUGAUACAGUACACUUUACUGUAUUUUUUGAGUUGUACAAGAGGCAAUAGUUUGUUUCUGGAAUAAUUUAUUUCUGUUUAUGCUUAAUAAACAAUGGAUUUGGGGGUGGUGAUAGCGCACUUCAAUCCCCCACUGUGAACCA